This 253-nucleotide ribosomal RNA is filed under the name uncultured bacterium. RNAcentral's name for it is "partial 16S ribosomal RNA". It matches the Rfam family "Bacterial small subunit ribosomal RNA", at positions 524 to 776 of the family's 1533-position model. The record is from RNAcentral.
UACGUAGGGUGCAAGCGUUGUCCGGAAUUAUUGGGCGUAAAGGGCUCGUAGGCGGUCCGUCACGUCGGGAGUGAAAUCCUGGGGCUUAACCCCAGAACUGCUUCCGAUACGGGCAGACUAGAGGUAGGUAGGGGAGAAUGGAAUUCCUGGUGUAGCGGUGGAAUGCGCAGAUAUCAGGAGGAACACCAGUGGCGAAGGCGGUUCUCUGGGCCUUACCUGACGCUGAGGAGCGAAAGCAUGGGGAGCGAACAGG